RNAcentral lists this ribosomal RNA (549 nucleotides) under uncultured bacterium. RNAcentral's name for it is "partial 16S ribosomal RNA". It matches the Rfam family "Bacterial small subunit ribosomal RNA", at positions 355 to 920 of the family's 1533-position model. The record is from RNAcentral.
UGGGGAAUAUUGCACAAUGGGCGAAAGUCUGAUGCAGCAACGCCGCGUGAGUGAUGAAGGCCUUCGGGUUGUAAAGCUCUGUCUUUUGGGACGAUAAUGACGGUACCAAAGGAGGAAGCCACGGCUAACUACGUGCCAGCAGCCGCGGUAAUACGUAGGUGGCAAGCGUUGUCCGGAUUUACUGGGCGUAAAGGAUGCGUAGGCGGAUUUUUAAGUGAGAUGUGAAAUACCCGGGCUUAACUUGGGUGCUGCAUUUCAAACUGGGAAUCUAGAGUGCGGGAGAGGAGAAUGGAAUUCCUAGUGUAGCGGUGAAAUGCGUAGAGAUUAGGAAGAACACCAGUGGCGAAGGCGAUUCUCUGGACCGUAACUGACGCUGAGGCAUGAAAGCGUGGGUAGCAAACAGGAUUAGAUACCCUGGUAGUCCACGCCGUAAACGAUGAGUACUAGGUGUAGGAGGUAUCGACCCCUUCUGUGCCGCAGUUAACACAAUAAGUACUCCGCCUGGGAAGUACGAUCGCAAGAUUAAAACUCAAAGGAAUUGACGGGGUC